RNAcentral lists this long non-coding RNA (670 nucleotides) under Homo sapiens (human). RNAcentral's name for it is "non-protein coding LINC-PINT:54". Lineage: Eukaryota; Metazoa; Chordata; Mammalia; Primates; Hominidae. The record is from RNAcentral.
ACUGGAAUCAGCAACUCCCUGGAACUCGGGCCUCUGGCCCCGUCCCUCUUUUCUCCGGCAGGGACGCAGGAUGCCUUGGUGCACUCUAGAGACGGGGACCGGAGGGUGCAGCGCGCCUGGGUGGGGCGAAGGGCGCCGGUCUCCUCACGCCCUCUGACUUUAGGAUACCAGACAGUGUCUCUUCAACCCCACCCCAGGCGCAGGUUUCCAGAAGGCGGGGUGGGUGGGGCCCCCGAUUUCCAGAAGGCGAGUUACCUAGCAGGAGAAAAAUCAAGACGUUCCCUUCAGUCCUCCCUCGGUGUUAACGUCUGCUCCAGCUCGCAGCCCGCUGCUGGGCAUUUUAUUAAUGCUUUUACGAGUUAGAAGAGUUGGGAUAAUUUGCCAUCUGGAGUUUCUCUGCCUUGCUGAUCUGAGCUCAGACCUGCCAAUUUACCAGAGAUAAUUGAUAACACCCUGUAACAGCUGAGAGGAAAAUGGAAGAAACGGAGAUACUUUUAGUGAAGCAGAAUAAACCACUGAACAGUCUGUUUCAUCUUCAUAAAAACGCUGCUUUCAGUGCACUGGAUUUAUUUUACAACCCACUAAUGGAUUACCCUACAGUUUGAAAAACAUUGCGUUAGACCAGUUUGACUGUUGUCAAGAACCAAAAAAGAUGGAGUUUCACUCUUCC